Molecule: unclassified non-coding RNA, 291 nt
Organism: Cavia porcellus (domestic guinea pig)
Lineage: Eukaryota; Metazoa; Chordata; Mammalia; Rodentia; Caviidae
Gene: 7SK
Rfam family: 7SK RNA
About the family: 7SK was discovered as an abundant small nuclear RNA in the mid-70s but a possible function has only recently been suggested.
Source: Ensembl
GAUUAUGAGGGCUAUCUGGCUACGACAUCUGUCACUCCAUUGAUUGGGCUGAUACGGGCUAAUCUGCGUCCCCUCCCUUCCUCACUGCUUUAUAGGAGUCCCUCCUAAAACUGCCAGCUCAGGGGAAAAGGACCCCUUCCCAGAUGGCAGGAUGUUUCUUUGGGCAAGGUCUAUGAGUAUCUGUGCUCCCCUGCUAAAACCUCCAAAACAAGUUCUCAGUACAAAAUAGUUCCUUCUCUACUUUCUUUUCAUGGCAUGAGUGAACCCUUGAAAUUCAUGGGGGUUAUGUUC